This is a long non-coding RNA of Passer domesticus (house sparrow), 402 nucleotides long. RefSeq lists it as uncharacterized. Lineage: Eukaryota; Metazoa; Chordata; Aves; Passeriformes; Passeridae. The transcript has 3 exons. The record is from RefSeq and is a predicted model, not a curated record.
AAUUUCUUGGAAGCAGAUUCAAGUUUAUGUCUUUCUUUACAUUGUACUUUACUUACUUUUCUGUUUAGUAGGCAACCAGAAACACUGCAAAGUGCGUGCUGAACAUCUUUCAAUAUCCCAAGGAAGAGACAUAACAACAUAUGAGAUCACUGGCAGGGGAUUCCCAGAACAGAUCCAAUGCAAGUCUGAAGCUGCACAAGGAGGCAGUUUGAAAUCUUAAAUGUGUGUUGAGUGAUUAAUCAUCAAGCAAUUAUGGAAAAUGGCAUCUUAGAAAACGCACGUAACUUGCUACAUUCAGUAAGACACACCUCCAAGCUGAAUAGGUCAGGAACAGACUACAGAAUCAACUGAACGUAAGCAGUCAAAGAACUUAAGUAAAACUAGAUUAAAUUUCUAAUUGGG